Long non-coding RNA from Bradysia coprophila, 356 nucleotides. The record is from RefSeq and is a predicted model, not a curated record. Lineage: Eukaryota; Metazoa; Arthropoda; Insecta; Diptera; Sciaridae.
GCCUUGUCCAGACCAUGUGCAUAUCAGUUCGUACGCUUUUAGACUGAAUCAAAUCAAGCGAUACCGCCAAUACAACACCAAAAUAAGUCGUAAUUGCAGGAUAAUAGGCUGCAAUAGGAACACAUUUUGCUGGAAACUUUGAGUUUUUGGUUAUUGCAAUAUAGAGAACUCUAUGACCGGUAAAUUGCACUCACACAAACGAUCGUCAUGGACGAUAUUAACGUUUGUAUAUUUCAGCAUUCGAAAGGCUAACCACACCUUCUGUGUAUUAAAGCUCACCAACUUAUUUCAACAGCUCGAAUGGAAAGAAUGUGAGAAUUGACUCUCUUCUCGAAAUCCUAUAGUUUUAUAUCAUU